AUUGAACGCUGGCGGCAUGCCUUACACAUGCAAGUCGAACGGUAGCGCGGGGGCAACCCUGGCGACGAGUGGCGAACGGGUGAGUAAAGUAUCGGAACGUGCCCUAGAGUGGGGGAUAACUAGUCGAAAGACUAGCUAAUACCGCAUACGAUCUAUGGAUGAAAGUGGGGGAUCGCAAGACCUCAUGCUCAUGGAGCGGCCGAUAUCUGAUUAGCUAGNGGUAGGGUAAAGCCUACCAAGGCGACGAUCAGUAGCUGGUCUGAGAGGACGACCAGCCACACUGGGACUGAGACACGGCCCAGACUCCUACGGGAGGCAGCAGUGGGGAAUUUUGGACAAUGGGGGCAACCCUGAUCCAGCAAUGCCGCGUGAGUGAAGAAGGCCU
RNAcentral lists this ribosomal RNA (385 nucleotides) under uncultured bacterium. RNAcentral's name for it is "bacterial SSU rRNA". It matches the Rfam family "Bacterial small subunit ribosomal RNA", at positions 30 to 417 of the family's 1533-position model. The record is from RNAcentral.